RNAcentral lists this ribosomal RNA (466 nucleotides) under uncultured bacterium. Its description in RNAcentral is "partial 16S ribosomal RNA". It matches the Rfam family "Bacterial small subunit ribosomal RNA", at positions 331 to 794 of the family's 1533-position model. The record is from RNAcentral.
CCAGACUCCUACGGGAGGCAGCAGUGAGGAAUAUUGGUCAAUGGGCGAGAGCCUGAACCAGCCAAGUCGCGUGAGGGAGGACGGCCCUACGGGUUGUAAACCUCUUUUGCCGGGGGACAAACGGCGGCACGCGUGCCGUCCUGAGGGUACCCGGAGAAAAAGCAUCGGCUAACUCCGUGCCAGCAGCCGCGGUAAUACGGAGGAUCCGAGCGUUAUCCGGAUUUAUUGGGUUUAAAGGGUGCGUAGGUUGUUUUUUAAGUCAGCGGUGAAAGUUUGUGGCUCAACCAUAAAAUUGCCGUUGAAACUGGAAGACUUGAGUGUGUUUGAGGUAGGCGGAAUGCGUGGUGUAGCGGUGAAAUGCAUAGAUAUCACGCAGAACUCCGAUUGCGAAGGCAGCUUACUAAGCCAUAACUGACACUGAAGCACGAAAGCGUGGGGAUCAAACAGGAUUAGAUACCCCCGUACA